CACGUAGGGACCAAGCGUUGUCCGGAUUCAUUGGGCGUAAAGAGCUCGUAGGCGGCUCAGUAAGUCGGGUGUGAAACCUCCAGGCUCAACCUGGAGACGCCACCCGAUACUGCUGUGGCUAGAGUCCAGUAGGGGAGCGUGGAAUUCCUGGUGUAGCGGUGAAAUGCGCAGAUAUCAGGAGGAACACCAGCGGCGAAGGCGGCGCUCUGGGCUGGAACUGACGCUGAGGAGCGGAAAGCGUGGGGAGCGAACAGG
RNAcentral lists this ribosomal RNA (255 nucleotides) under uncultured bacterium. Its description in RNAcentral is "partial 16S ribosomal RNA". It matches the Rfam family "Bacterial small subunit ribosomal RNA", at positions 524 to 776 of the family's 1533-position model. The record is from RNAcentral.